This 900-nucleotide ribosomal RNA is filed under the name Faecalimonas nexilis. RNAcentral's name for it is "partial 23S ribosomal RNA". It matches the Rfam family "Bacterial large subunit ribosomal RNA", at positions 314 to 1213 of the family's 2925-position model. Lineage: Bacteria; Bacillati; Bacillota; Clostridia; Lachnospirales; Lachnospiraceae. The record is from RNAcentral.
AAUUGACGAGCGAGUCUAAUGGAAAGGUUUUGGGAAAGCCUGCCAGAGAGGGUGAAAGCCCCGUACAUGAAAGACGAGUGAGCAUGGCAGUAUCCAGAGUACCACGAGACACGAGAAACCUUGUGGGAAUGAGCGGGGACCACCCCGUAAGGCUAAAUACUCCUUAGUGACCGAUAGCGCAUAGUACUGUGAAGGAAAGGUGAAAAGGACCCCGGGAGGGGAGUGAAAGAGAACCUGAAACCAUAUGUUUACAAGCUGUGGAAGAGCUUUACAUGCUCAACCGCGUACUUUUUGUAGAACGGUCCGGCGAGUUGCGCUGGCUGGCGAGGUUAAGGACUGAAGGUCCGGAGCCGAAGGGAAACCAAGUCUGAAUAGGGCGAAUAUAGUCAGUCGGAGCAGACCCGAAACCGGGUGAUCUACCCAUGUCCAGGUUGAAGUUGCCGUAAAAGGCAAUGGAGGACCGAACGCACAUCCGUUGAAAAGGGUGGCGAUGAGGUGUGGGUAGGGGAGAAAUUCCAAUCGAACCCGGAGAUAGCUGGUUCUCCUCGAAAUAGCUUUAGGGCUAGCCUCAUACGAGUCUUGCGGAGGUAGAGCACUGAAUUUCCUAGGGGGCGUCAAAGCUUACCGAAGAAUAUCAAACUCCGAAUGCCGCGUAGAUGAUGUAUGGGAGUCAGACUAUACGAGAUAAGUUGGAUAGUCGAAAGGGAAAGAGCCCAGACCACCGGCUAAGGUCCCAAAAUGUGUGUUAAGUGGAAAAGGAUGUGGGAUUUCGAAGACAACCAGGAUGUUGGCUUAGAAGCAGCCAUACAUUAAAAGAGUGCGUAAUAGCUCACUGGUCGAGAGGUCCUGCGCCGAAAAUGUCCGGGGCUGAAACACACUACCGAAGCCGUGGAAUCAUCG